UACGUAGGGUGCAAGCGUUGUCCGGAAUUAUUGGGCGUAAAGAGCUCGUAGGCGGUCCGUCACGUCGGCUGUGAAAACCUGGGGCUCAACCCCGGGCCUGCAGCCGAUACGGGCGGACUAGAAUUCGGUAGGGGAGACUGGAAUUCCUGGUGUAGCGGUGAAAUUCGUAGAUAUUAGGAGGAACACCCGUGGCGAAAGCGGCCAUCUGGAUCACAAUUGACGCUGAUGUACGAAAGCGUGGGUAGCAAACAGG
Molecule: ribosomal RNA, 253 nt
Filed under: uncultured bacterium
Lineage: Bacteria
Description: partial 16S ribosomal RNA
Rfam family: Bacterial small subunit ribosomal RNA
Source: RNAcentral